Molecule: transfer RNA, 74 nt
Filed under: Spirochaetota bacterium
Lineage: Bacteria; Pseudomonadati; Spirochaetota
Also listed under: 1 other name
Description: Spirochaetes bacterium (wastewater metagenome) tRNA-Arg
Rfam family: tRNA
About the family: Transfer RNA (tRNA) molecules are approximately 80 nucleotides in length. Their secondary structure includes four short double-helical elements and three loops (D, anti-codon, and T loops).
Source: RNAcentral
GCGCCCAUAGCUCAAUUGGAUAGAGCAUCAGAUUGCGGAUCUGAAGGCUGGGUGUUCGAUUCACCCUGGGCGCG